AUGCAAGUCGAACGAGAUUAAGAAGCUUGCUUCUUAUGAAAGUGGCGCACGGGUGCGUAACGCGUAUGCAACCUACCUUAAUCAGGGGGAUAGCCCGAAGAAAUUCGGAUUAAGACCGCAUAAAAACACAGGAUAGCAUUAUCCAAUGUUCAAAUAUUUAUAGGAUUAAGAUGGGCAUGCGUGUCAUUAGCUAGUUGGCGGGGUAACGGCCCACCAAGGCGACGAUGACUAGGGGAUCUGAGAGGAUGACCCCCCACACUGGUACUGAGACACGGACCAGAUUCCUACGGGAGGCAGCAGUAAGGAAUAUUGGUCAAUGGAGGGAACUCUGAACCAGCCAUGCCGCGUGCAGGAAGACAGCCCUCUGGGUCGUAAACUGCUUUUAUUCGGGAAUAAACCUUAUUACGUGUAAUAAGCUGAAUGUACCGAAGGAAUAAGGAUCGGCUAACUCCGUGCCAGCAGCCGCGGUAAUACGGAGGAUCCAAGCGUUAUCCGGAUUUAUUGGGUUUAAAGGGUGCGUAGGCGGCUUAUUAAGUCAGGGGUGAAAGACGGUGGCUCAACCAUCGCAGUGCCCUUGAUACUGAUGAGCUUGAAUACACUAGAGGUAGGCGGAAUGUGACAAGUAGCGGUGAAAUGCAUAGAUAUGUCACAGAACACCGAUUGCGAAGGCAGCUUACUAUGGUGUUAUUGACGCUGAGGCACGAAAGCGUGGGGAUCAAACAGGAUUAGAUACCCUGGUAGUCCACGCCCUAAACGAUGAAUACUCGCUGUUAGCGAUAUACAGUUAGCGGCUAAGCGAAAGCGUUAAGUAUUCCACCUGGGGAGUACGCCCGCAAGGGUGAA
This 843-nucleotide ribosomal RNA is filed under the name uncultured Pedobacter sp. Its description in RNAcentral is "bacterial SSU rRNA". It matches the Rfam family "Bacterial small subunit ribosomal RNA", at positions 55 to 898 of the family's 1533-position model. Lineage: Bacteria; Pseudomonadati; Bacteroidota; Sphingobacteriia; Sphingobacteriales; Sphingobacteriaceae. The record is from RNAcentral.